This 468-nucleotide ribosomal RNA is filed under the name uncultured bacterium. Its description in RNAcentral is "partial 16S ribosomal RNA". It matches the Rfam family "Bacterial small subunit ribosomal RNA", at positions 28 to 507 of the family's 1533-position model. The record is from RNAcentral.
GACGAACGCUGGCGGCGUGCUUAACACAUGCAAGUCGAACGGAAAGGCCCUGCUUUUGUGGGGUGCUCGAGUGGCGAACGGGUGAGUAACACGUGAGUAACCUGCCCUUGACUUUGGGAUAACUUCAGGAAACUGGGGCUAAUACCGGAUAGGAGCUCCUGCUGCAUGGUGGGGGUUGGAAAGUUUCGGCGGUUGGGGAUGGACUCGCGGCUUAUCAGCUUGUUGGUGGGGUAGUGGCUUACCAAGGCUUUGACGGGUAGCCGGCCUGAGAGGGUGACCGGCCACAUAGGGACUGGGAUACGGCCAAGACUCCUACGGGAGACAGCAGUGGGAAAUAUUGCACAAUGGGCGGAAGCCUGAUGCAGCAACGCCGCGUGCGGGAUGACGGCCUUCGGGUUGUAAACCGCUUUCGCCUGUGACGAAGCGUGAGUGACGGUAAUGGGUAAAGAAGCACCGGCUAACUACGUG